RNAcentral lists this ribosomal RNA (253 nucleotides) under uncultured bacterium. RNAcentral describes it as "partial 16S ribosomal RNA". It matches the Rfam family "Bacterial small subunit ribosomal RNA", at positions 524 to 777 of the family's 1533-position model. The record is from RNAcentral.
UACGAAGGGGCUAGCGUUGCUCGGAAUCACUGGGCGUAAAGCGCACGUAGGCGGACUUUUAAGUCAGGGGUGAAAUCCUGGAGCUCAACUCCAGAACUGCCUUUGAUACUGGAAGUCUUGAGUCCGGAAGAGGUAAGUGGAACUGCGAGUGUAGAGGUGAAAUUCGUAGAUAUUCGCAAGAACACCAGUGGCGAAGGCGGCUUACUGGUCCGAUACUGACGCUGAGGCACGAAAGCGUGGGGAGCAAACAGGG